CAGCCGCCGCGGUAAUUCAGAGGGUGCGAGCGUUAAUCGGAUUUACUGGGCGUAAAGCGUGCGUAGGCGGCUUCUUAAGUCGGAUGUGAAAUCCCUGAGCUUAACUUAGGAAUUGCAUUCGAUACUGGGAAGCUAGAGUAUGGGAGAGGAUGGUAGAAUUCCAGGUGUAGCGGUGAAAUGCGUAGAGAUCUGGAGGAAUACCGAUGGCGAAGGCAGCCAUCUGGCCUAAUACUGACGCUGAGGUACGAAAGCAUGGGGAGCAAACAGGAUUAGAUACCCCAGUAGUCCCUGUCUCUUAUAC
Molecule: ribosomal RNA, 301 nt
Filed under: uncultured bacterium
Lineage: Bacteria
Description: partial 16S ribosomal RNA
Rfam family: Bacterial small subunit ribosomal RNA
Source: RNAcentral